AAGGAAUUGAAAAUGCUCCCUUUCACCUCUCUGCAACUCCGUCGCUUCCUCCACCAUUAUUACCUCUCUCCUACUCCAUCUCUCACUCAGUCCACUUCUGUUCUAACUUUUUCCCUACCCGUCUCCCUAAAUUUACGUUCUUGCCAUUUUCUAUCUGUAGACCCUUCUCUUCGGAGACCAUUAAUCCUAUGACUCAGAUUCCAUUGCACGUUCUA
RNAcentral lists this unclassified non-coding RNA (215 nucleotides) under Hevea brasiliensis (rubber tree). Lineage: Eukaryota; Viridiplantae; Streptophyta; Magnoliopsida; Malpighiales; Euphorbiaceae. The record is from RNAcentral.